GACGAACGCUGGCGGCGUGCUUAACACAUGCGAGUCGAACGGAAGGGCCCUGCUUGCCGGGUACUCGAGUGGCGAACGGGUGAGUAACACGUGGGUGAUCUGCCCUGCACUUCGGGAUAAGCCUGGGAAACUGGGUCUAAUACCGGAUAGGAGCCAUUUUUAGUGUGAUGGUUGGAAAGUUUUUUCGGUGUAGGAUGAGCUCGCGGCCUAUCAGCUUGUUGGUGGGGUAAUGGCCUACCAAGGCGGCGACGGGUAGCCGGCCUGAGAGGGUGGACGGCCACAUUGGGACUGAGGUACGGCCCAGACGCCUACGGGAGGAAGCAGUGGGGAAUAUUGCACAAUGGGCGCAAGCCUGAUGCAGCGACGCCGCGUGGGGGAUGACGGCCUUCGGGUUGUAAAAUCCUUUCGCUAGGGACGAAGCUUUUUGUGACGGUACCUAGAUAAGAAGCACCGGCUAACUACGUG
RNAcentral lists this ribosomal RNA (465 nucleotides) under uncultured bacterium. Its description in RNAcentral is "partial 16S ribosomal RNA". It matches the Rfam family "Bacterial small subunit ribosomal RNA", at positions 28 to 507 of the family's 1533-position model. The record is from RNAcentral.